Molecule: long non-coding RNA, 280 nt
Organism: Vespa mandarinia (Asian giant hornet)
Lineage: Eukaryota; Metazoa; Arthropoda; Insecta; Hymenoptera; Vespidae
Source: RefSeq, a predicted model, not a curated record
UCUCUAACUUUUGUAUUUAUUUUAAGGAAUAUUCGAUGGAAGAUCCCUCGAAGAAAUUAUAAAGAGGAGGCAAAAUCGAUGGCAAAAAAGAAGUAAAUGAUGUAACUGGUCGCCCAAUUUGCAUGAUUAGCACUGGCCCUCUUUUUUCUCCGCUUCGGUUAGCCGGUUCGCAUCAACGGGCCACGCGCUAGAUACUUGGAUUCUCACGGGUUAUACACAAGCGAUUUAUCGAUUGGAUAUGUAAGAGAAUGUAUGUUGACGAUAAGAAAAAGAGAGAGAG